Osmia lignaria (orchard mason bee) is the source of this 10984-nucleotide non-coding RNA. The record is from RefSeq and is a predicted model, not a curated record. Lineage: Eukaryota; Metazoa; Arthropoda; Insecta; Hymenoptera; Megachilidae.
GUGCGGCUGUAACAAUCAAAUAGAAUUUUUAAAUGUUUGCUUACGUAUAGUUAAGUAUUUGUUAAUCUAUUAAUAUUCAAAGUUUUGAAUACAUAAGGUGAUUGAACACGCGGUACUGCGUGAGCAGCGGCAAGUGUGUUAACUACCUAUUUAAAUUUAUAUUUGUUGAACAGUCGGUAAAGUAAAGAUUAUUAGAUGAUAAAAUCUACGUUUAUGCAGGUAACGUCAAUUUUUAUUUACAAUGAUCCUUAUUGAUUUUUGUAUAAAAUAUCAAGUUUCUAGAAAACAUAAAAUCUCUGUAAUUAUUGCUUAUGAAGAGAAUUUCCUUCAGAAAUGGAAAUAUAGACCGAAGCACGGUAAAUAGCCGAGAAAGCGGUCAUUGCCAGUCUUGGGUCAUUGCUAUAGGAGGAGAAAGCUUAUAGGUAAUCAGGUUUUUUACAAUACUAUUCUUCAAAAGUAAAUUACGAAUGUCCAUCAAAGUAACGAAACCAGUCUAACUUGAGGGAAGUGAAAUCUGAAAGAAUGUACUUUUGCAUAACAUGAUUAACAAGAAGGAAACAAUGAGAGACAGUAGUGAAAGGUUAAGUUUAACGAGGUCAACGACUGACAAUAUAAACAAGCUCAACGAAUGACACGCCGACGAGAUUGACGCGUUUGAAAUGGCUGAGAAGCGUGGGUUUAAUCGUACACGGAAGGAAGUCUGUAUUUUAUAAGAAUUACAAUCAUAAGAACUUCAGGUGUAUUAGAUGCAUAUAUCGAUUUUUCAUGAUUGUUCGUUAUUGAAGUUUACGGAUUAAGUCAGUAAUAAUAUCACGUACUUUUCCUGAAUUAAUAGGUUAAUAGGUACAUCCGAGUUUUAUUGUCGCUGCGUGUUGCGACGAUUCCUCUGACGAGUAACGUUACCACGAAGCAGAAGUUCGCUGCGUCGUAUGCCACCGUUAUCAGUCAUCAACCUAAUUGCAAUUGACUUGCACUAUAUGUUGGAGACUGUGGUCGUGCAAUGAAAAAACCACCGUGUAUACCAGUGGGGAAAACGAAGUCAAUCUGCGAAAUCGAGUAUGUAAUCAGUCGCGUAGACGGAUUGAAAUCGUCCAUUUAACGUAUUUGAGAUCGACGUCGCGUCGUGUACGUCCUGCACUAUUCAAUGCAAUCAACGAUGCAUCUUGUAAAGGAAUGCCGGCCCGGUAUUCAAAAAAUUGAUAAAAAAUGAACAUUGACGUUGAUUUGAAAUCAGGUAAAACGCUGAAUACUCUAAUGGAAAACAAAACUAUAAUAUUCCUAUUUGAAGAAAAAUAAUUUUUAUUUAAUACGAGUUUCUUUUAUUUUAAUUUAGAUUUUCUAAAGUAUAUUUUAAAAUGAAAAACCAGGAAGGGUUAAAUGUAGCUAGUGGAGCAUAUAAUCAGAGAUGAAAUUAUUAUUAUCUAUUCAAGAGUUACUCUUGAUCUUUUGGAUAAGAUCUGACUGACAGGAUGAUAAUAUCUUGAAGAUUGAAUCUACUUAAAGACAAGGCUGAUUUAGCCCGCUCCCAUUGCAUGGAUUUUUGUCCGACCAAAAAAUUGGCGGAACCGUUCGCUUUCUCAUAGUCGUAUUUUCGUGACCUUGACUUUUUCGACGUUACCAUUUGACGUCAAAAUCGAUGUGUAGACGCGGUUUCCAUGUGCAUCGAAACACGUGGGUGGUGAUUGCACCAAGGGCGUACCGGUGAUAGGUUUGCACCGAGGUUAAGAGAUGAAAGACUUCCCAAUCGUUCGUUAAAUGUCGGCAACACCUGAUAUCGUGGAGCAAUUAACUCGGUAACAAUAGUUGGCAAAGGAUCUGAAAGUAUUUUCGAGCGAACUUCGAAACUUACUUUUAUGUAUAGGGUGGAACAGUUGAAAUUAGUAUCUCUGUCAUUAUUUUUAGCUGAGAACAAUUUCUACCAAUAUACGGUUCCCUUCCAAAAGAAGAAAAACUUUGUUUGAUCAGAAAGCAACGUUUGUUUGACAAUUCUGUAUUCACAGUCGUUGUUUGCCUAUCCCUGGAGAAAGUUUUUCCUAAAACUUCGCUUUUUAUCUUCACUGGAAAGUUACCGUUCCCUCUCGUUCCAAUUAAAUCUGAAACUUUCGCGUAGUAAAUCGAGCAUUAAAAAAGAAAAAAAAAAAGAUGCGAGUAAUAAGAGAGACGCAUAGAUCCAUUGUUGAUAAUCAGUUAUAUACAGUGCACUUUCACUGUACAACUCCACUCACGAUCAGAAACUAAAUAUCUUAGGAAAGGAUUAAUUUUUAUAAUUAAUAUAUCAGUUUUACUGAUUGAUGCUCAUUCGAUAAACACUCACUGGCGAUUUGCAGGCCCAGCAUUAACAUGAAGCCAACAAUUAUGGCGGUCAGCUGUAGGAGGCCACUUUUCUCGUUAGCUCUUUCGCGUGCGAGCACCUCGAAGAAAACCACGUAGAGCAACGUUCCGGCUGCCAUUCCUUGGAGUAUCGUCGGCGUUGGUCCCAAGUUUCCGCUGUCGUUCUUGAAAUAGUCGAGAGCUAAUCCUACAGCGAUACCAAUGGGAGUGACCAUGGAAAAUAUCGUCAGGUAGCUAAGAGUUGUCCUGGUGGAUGCACCAGCGACGUAUAAUUCCAUUCCAACGCAAAAUGAGAUGACCAGUUUGUGCGUGGCUAUAGCUGCAGCUAGAUAAACCACAGAACCGAUAGAGGGUUCUAGUCCAACAGCUAGACCCUCGAAGAUGGCAUGGAAAGAGAGAGCUAGAACGGUCAACAGACCCUGAAUCGAGGUAUUUUUCGUCACAGGGACGUGCUUAUGUUCGUGUUGCUUCGUCCUGGGGUAUUGGUUCAGAUUUGUAUCAGAAGGGUAUCUCACAUUCUCUGGACUGUGUUCAUCAGAGGAUAACCCCGUUGGAGAAGACAGGACGAAUAUAGCUGGUAGACCUGGUCGUAGUGGACAUCGUGGUCGUUGAACCUGUCGACGCAGUCGUCGAUGCACCUGGUUGAUUGUUGCAUCUGCGUACAGAGACUGUCCUAUAUAAGAGAGCCUCCGAAGACUCGGGUUUUCCGGUCAACGCUGCGUGCACCGCCUCCUCAACGAGGUAAACGAGGAAGAAUCCAGCGCAGAACAGUAAUUCAGACAAACUAAGCGUGCCUAAGGUUGGCAGUUGAUCGUUCUUCUGGUGUCUCUCCACGCUGACGCGAACUUCCGGUGCUAAAUGCAGGAACGUGGUGAAUAAGAGGACCCCUCCUCCGAAGCAAAGUAACAACGACGUUUGCAGGCCCUGGGGGGGGAUUAUAAGUUAUCUUCGAAUUUCUCUAUCAUUCUUAUCGAACAUAGUUACCCAGUCGUUCCUCGAAAGAAAGCACGGCUUAAAAUUGGGACAAUCGUUGCUGCCUUCGAUGAGUUUAUCUUGUGUAAAUGUUAACUCACUUUGUACAAGAGGACAUAAGAAUUUUGUUUUUCUACAAUUUACUUCGUUUCAUUCGUUCUAGAAGAUGUAAUUUUAGAGGAACGACUGCUGAAUGUUCGAUAAAUUUAUUUUAACCCUCAAUUGGCCGGAUUACUGAUAAGCAACCGAUUAAAUGUUGACACAUUUGGUCGGUAGUUUGUAUUUUGUACGGGCAAGACGUGACGUUUAGUUUAAACAGUUAACAAAUUUGUUAUCUUUAAUGAUUCAUUUAUGAUCUAAUGGAGAUAAUAAAAUUUAGGUAUGCUACCUAUUCGAGUUUCAGGUGAACGGGAUCAAAAGGAAUGAUUCGAGAGAAGAAUAUGAAUUAUUUUGAUUUAGUCGUACCAGUUGAGGAUUAAAUUGUUGAACAUUUCUGAUGUUGUUUGGCGAUAGCUUCGUACAUCGGAAACGUACUUGCGAAUCUGUUGCAGAUCCGGAGAAAACGGUAGAAGAGGAAGCGUUCGAAACCGAGGUCGAAGUGCAAGUGCUGGAAUUGCUGGAAAUUCCCCGGUGUCGUUUUUGGCGAUGGUUGAUUCUGUAUCGUCCUACUAUCAACGGUAACAUUCCCAGGAUCAAGGAACCGAAACCAAGACCAAUCAUUGCUCCUAUCUUUGCUAUUAAUAAAAUUGUGGAAGUCGUUGGUUCUUCCAUGUUUUUUUUUUCCUUUUAUUAUUCACUUCAGAAGGUAAAUUUAUAUUCAACCAAAGAGCUUUGGUUCAAUUUCUCUUUAAAAGAAAGAACAAUAUUCAAAUUUAUCUCUUUUUCACAUCACUUAAUAACAUCCUUUUUUUCCAGUAUCAUCACAAGUCCUCUCAUCCUUCACACCGUGCUCAACAUUUACUCUAGAUUCUUCAGGCGUCUUCCACUUCUCCCUUCACUCGUUUGAGAUGGCCACUUUAUCACUUAGCACAAGCCAAACAAUUUCGAAACGGUCCGGCAAUGAAUUAAGGUAUCUCCGAUCACUUACAUUCAUUAACGUUCGUUCAUUGACGCUAGAUUAGUAUUCUUAUCAAAAGAAUUUUUAGACAGAUUCUUCGAGUGACUCAAUCCGGAACCAGAGCCUUUAUCAACGAUCUACCGUCCUAUUCAUCUCGUUCUUUUUUACGCUGUGCAACGAUCAAGAUUGAAAUGAUUUAGCGAAUGUGAAACCACGGGAAAUCGCGCGUCCUGGAUCCAAGCCAGUGGAACCGUAUACGAACUCGACGAGUCUGUUUGGUAACCUGUCGGCGAACGGGCGGCUGAUAGGAGCCGCGGAUACAUAGCUACGUGCAUGGAGGAGAAUGAAUGAUUGGCAAGCACCGCGUGCCUGGACUGAUGGUAGGAGACGAUCGAUCGUUCUUCAUUGAUCGAUCGAUCGGUUGCAUACUUGCGCUGCUUUCUGCCAGUUCAAACGAUGCGUAAUGCUUGUUAUUUUCUCUUCUCUUUAUCGUUUAGCAAGCCGACUGCCUUGUCACCUGAACGUUCCUGACGUAUGAAUCCCCGGCAGAGAUCUGUUAAGCUGAUGGUUAUUAAUCCUUCUUGACCAUGCAUAACUAGAAUUCCAGGGCAUUGCAAUUCUGUUUACCGAAAUGAUCUACAAUUGACGAGAAACUUGCGAUAUGGCGCAAUGCAGGUCACUUUCAAUUUCUAAUCUAGUUCACUGCACCGUUUUCACUUGAAACGGAGUUAAAAAGGCGAACCAUCGCCGCUUUACAGUAGACGAAAAUAAUAUUCCAAUAAUUUUAGUCUGACGGUACUUGAGAAACCAGUUCUUCAAGAGGACACCUAGGUUUUACAGUUAAUAAUUCAAUCGAUUUUCAGUUCCACCUCGAUCAGACAUGGUUCUGAGUAAAUGGGUGAAGCUGAUUUAAUGGUGAAAGGCGGCUCGAUCAUUCAACGUGGAGUUGAAUCAUUGGCGCAGAAAAAUGUUCCCGUUUUGUUACUUUAUGAGUUACCUUAAAUAAUGUAAAAUCGAAGUCAGCUUUUCCUUCUCUAAGAGAUCCACGCUGUGUCGGUUUUGACGUGAAACGUAGACUAUCGAGUGUUUCAACGUAAGUCGAAAGUAAAUUUUGUACUUACUGAGUAUCUGGAGUACAAACAUCACAGCGAAUCCAACCAAAAUGGACAAAUACUGUUUGAGGCCGCUUCUAUGCUCUUGAAGGAUCUCGAAGAACACUACGUAUAGUAAUGUACCAGAAGCCAGACCCUGUAACGUUCAAAAUACAAAAAUUAUUGUAUUAUGUUUGAAUAUUACAAAUUUUUCUUUCAUUCUUUUAAUACGAAAUAGCUGGUUAUCAGUUAUAGCAACCUAUGGAUAAGAGUUAAAUUAAUAGAUUUUCCUUAAUGGUUUUCAGCGAAGCCUAUUGAUAAUUUAAUGCAGCAUUUAGAGAAAGCAGAGCUAAUGAAGCAGAACCGGAAGUAUGCCAUUCGCAGCCGCGCUUUCGCCACCAACCAGUAACAUUCCUAUGCCGAUUCCUAAAGGAGAAACGACCGCAAAUGUGCAGACAUAAAUCACCGAAAGAUACGUUCUGGUGUUCGAAGCGAUUAAUUCCACGCCAAUGCAAAACGCUAUGACAAAUUUAUGAGCCGCCACUGCUGCAAACAUAUACCUGAAAAUGAAAACAGAGAUUUUUUAUUAUGAAUCCAUAAAUAUUGAGUAGAUUUCGACUGUUCGUUUAUCAAAAAGCAAACGCACCAAACGAACGAGGCUGAGCUUUCCAGUCCAAUCGCGAGUCCUUCGAAUAAUUCAUGCACGGAUAAACCCAGAACUAUUAAUAAUCCUCGUAGAGAACUUAUGACGAAGUCGUCUUUCUCGUCCAUUAUGACUGGCAAGUGAUGCGAAUGCCCGUUACUGCAACAAUGAAUUGUGAAUGCCCAUUUUCGACUAAUUCGUUGGUGCUACGGUUGACAUCCUUCUUCGAGAAAUCGUCCUUGAUGGAUUGCUUCUUCCUCAAAUGCGUGUGCACCGAUUCUUCCACUAAAUACAUUAAGAAGAACCUAGAUAGCUUCAUGAUAAGAAAGCGAUCUCGGAUCAGAUAAUCUUCACUUACCCAGCGCACGUAAGUGUUUCAGCUAAUGAAAAGCUGAGUUCAGGAAGUUUCUUUUCUUCGAUAAGAUGUUCUACCCCUUCUUUUACUUCUGGCAGUAGAUGAAGAAACGUUGUACAGAAAAGAACGCCGCCACCGAAUCCCAAAAACAAGAUUACAUCACACAGAUAGCCUUUGCAAUUAUUACAACACGAAACUGAAUGCAUUAUGAUCGUCGUAGUGAUAGUAGAAUCCGCAAACUUUAGAAGCUCGAGGUGUUUGCUUUCAAUAUAUGCACGUGACCUGCUUUCAAAUGGUUUAUCAAUUUGAUCAACUAUGAAGCAUUUUGCCAUUUGCAUUGGUAGAAUCCCCAUGCAUGUACUGACUGCGCAUAAAAUGAUCAUAGUAACUCCUUUUGCAACCAAUACAUCGUAUACAUCUUCCUCUUCAUGAUGAUGAUCUUCUUCAUCAUUAUGGAAAUGAUCAGUAGUGAUCAAUCUUUCCAUAAGAGAGUUAUCUUCUGAUGGCAUCAUUGUUCCUUUUAUCAACAGUCGGGAGGUUCUGGAAAGAAUAAACAGAUGAUUAAUCAUCGUGAUUCAUGAUGACACCAUUUGGAUGAUGUUUAUUGAAAAUUACAGUAUCCUCGCUAACUUUAUUCUCUUCAGAAAACGAAGACUUCUUUUUUACCAAUGUAAGAUCUGAUAUGUGCUUUUGUUUUUUAGAGAAUUAGCCAAUUCUUAGAAAUUUAUAGCUAAUUGUAACUGUGCCAGUAACACGAGUAUGUCUGUGAAUAUCAAAUAUGAAGAUAUCGAAUCAGGAGAUGAUUAAGUAUCUCUUGAAAUUGUUUAAUUACAGAACUCGAUAUGAACAUCAAUUACAUGUACAGCAGACAGUAUUUGAACGAACAAUACAAGCAUUCUAUAAUAUUAUCAUCGCUCUUUGUUGGAAUGUGCAGAUGCUACGAAAAACUUGCUUCACACAGACAGUUAUUGAAUUACCACCGUGAUUACAUGAAAUCAACAUCAACUAACAUUUUAGUGUCAGAUAAGCAUCAUCUGGGGUGAACGCAUUAAGAAUGAAAAUUUUUAAGGGCAAUGGUGCUAUGCUUGAGCGAGCUCCUUUCACGUUCGCUUUCGACGAAAACCAAGUGGCUUGACUGAUCGUUAAAAACAGGAACAGUACAAAGGAGAAGCAGGAAUGGAUGGUACUACGUAGUACCGGAGCUUGGGUGCAGUGAAAGUAUGUUCGCAAUGCUCCUUUGAAAAAACAAAGAGGGGAGAAAUGACUUUUGCGUUUUUGCGUUUAUCCAAGGUAAACUACAACCGUUUGAGAUAGUCAGCAAUCGAUUCCAGCAAUCGAAAUUGAAGUUUUACUAUUUAAACAACUUAAAACAUUAAUCUUCGAUCGAUAUCUCAUGUUCGAAAAAUAUAUAAUUCUAAUGUUAUCUAUAACAAGAUUAGGAAUCUACAUAUAACAAGAACUCACGUUUGGAAUGCGCCCCCUUUUUCUUGGAUCUAACGUUCAGGGAAGAAAGAAGCAAUUAUGGUUGGCAGCGAAAUGCUGUAACGUUUGACGACUGGAAGAAACUAAGAUCACUGGUUGGUCGGCCAACGUAUCCACCACUUGUAUACGUAUUUGCGAAACCUGUUUCGUUCGACAUUAUCGACCAAAUCUGGACGCAGAGAAUCCAGAUCGGCAAUACACUAGAUCAGAGGAUUUAAGGUCGAAAUAAGUGUACACUGGCUGGAGUGAAAGGGUUUAAAUCAUUCGUCUUUACUUAACUCUUUGAACUCCAGAGAUGAUUCUCACUUGCUACUUGUUAGUUUAAUACAUCAACUCUACUUGGCGACUUUUUAACCGACUUCAAAAGAGGAGAAGGUUACUCAAUUCGAUCAGUAUAUUUUUUUGUUUCGGUACUUUCACUUAAUAAUACUUCACGUGUACGAUUUUUUAUACGCAUUAGACGGUGUGAAUUAGACAUCCUUCAAUACAUUGAUUAGAUAAACAUCUAUAGAUUAAUUUCAGCCUAUGUAACCACUUUUUGGAAAAUUCGUUUGCUAAAUGCCUGGGGAUUAAUCUAAGCCUAUCGCGGGCAAAUAGAACUAUCUGACCUUUGCACCAGUUCUGACUGAAGCGAUUUUUAAUUUUUAUAAUUUUAAGAAACGGUACUAAUCUGCACAACAUUUGUUUUUCGAUUUCCGAUAAAUCUGCUAUCUUCUGAGGUACAGACAUUAGUUCCAUUUUAUUCCAGAAUGCCUGUGAUGGAACUUUGUGCUUCUUAAGAUGAUGUUGGCAACGAGAGCAUGUUAUUAUCUUCUCUAAUUCUAUUCGGUUUGCAGGAAUUAGACGAGACAAAGGCUACGUAUGCAAAGUGUAACGUUGCUGCAGACGGAUACACUGUACACGGUACAUCAGCAAAAAUAUUAAUAGCCGAUUUAAAGUAGUCUUCCUGGAGUUUGCGUAUAUUUGUUAAACGUGUAUUUUCUCAUUCGGUACGAUUUUUUAUGCGCAUUAGACGGUGUGAAUUAGACGUCCUUCGAUACAUUGAUUAGAUAAAUAUCUAUAGAUUAAUUUCAGCCUACGUGUAAUAAUAGGCCAAAUAUAGUAGAAUUCUGCUACAUUGAGUGAGAAGUGGGAAAUAAAGAACUAAAGAAAAUAAAAUAAAGAAUAAAGAAUAGUUCAUUAAUUGAUGGUAAAUGAGCAAUAGCAAACGUAAACGAUGAACAGAUUGAUUGGAAAAAGCUAUAGCUUGAAAUGAAUCAAUUGGUCACUGGUUAAGGGGGUAGACACGGGUAAUGCAGCGAGGUGACAAUCUCUCUCUUCAAUUUCUCUAACGCGCCUAUGUCUAACAGUACAAUGUUUAAAAAACUAAUAUUUAGUGUGAUCUAUUACUCAUAUACAUGAUUUAUGUUAUAGAUUUAACUUUGGAGGAGAAAAAUACAUGGGUGUAAAUUAUUUAUAUCCCUACAUUUCAACAGAAUACUCGGAUUAUUUUCUGUAUGAAAUACGUUCAGAAGAACUUUUCCUUGUGCAUACUUCCACUUCAGUUGCUCGGAGUUUCUUGGUGUGUUAUCUGUACAUUGGAAUGUUUUAUUGAAAACCGUGCAGUCUAUUAUUGUGCGUCUUUGAACUGUUUCAUUAACGGCAACCUAUUGCAAAAUAACUUCAAUGCAAUCAAAAGAACUGAUUGGACGGUGAAGUUUUAAUAGCUGUACAUAAUCGAUGAUUUACGAAUUCAAGCAAUAAGAUCACCACUGAAAUAUUUCACUGAGAAUACCAAGACUUUCACAAAAAAGUUGUGUAAAAAUUUUUCAAAACCAUCAACAGCAUCACAACAUUCAGAAGAUAUUGAAACAUAAAUCUGACCAAGCACAGAAGAUGAUGGCAAAAAUAAAUUGUUGUGAUGCACCGAUCGCGGCGAGACACUGCACACUGAGAGGUGGAUGCGUGAAUGAAGAAUACUGCAUUGCAAGGGAGAGAGUAAGCUGAGGCGAUGGAGGAAACUUUCGUACCUGUUUAUCGGGAUUCCCUGCUAUGCGCGAACCGUCCCUCCAACGUUUGGGGAAUCCUGAGGAUGAACAUUCACCCUGGUCACGCGUGCGGACGUGAUGUAUUCAUAAGUAGCUUGUUUCACGUGUAGCAUCUGCAUAAUGAUCGCGGCAAGAUCAACGAGAAGACCGCUAUAGGGUCAAGUUGGCUGACCGAUCGAACCGGAAAUGCGAAUGAGAUCCUCUUGUGAUGCCGUCAGCGACUUCCAACGUUAUCGAGAUAGAAUUCGGUAUUGGAGAGGUAUUCGUUGGAAGAGGUGCAAAUUGUUUCGAAGAAAUGCUUAGCAAUUUUCUUUUUAUUUUGGAAUUUACUUGAAAUGAAAGGAUAGAGGCCUUCGAGGCAAAGACAUUGGCGUAACUAAGAUUGUUGUAUAUACCUCGGUAUAGUGAUUAAUCAGUGACACUGUUGCAAAACACGGAAAAAUAAGAUUCACAACCAAAUGCAGCAAUUGGUGUAUGAAAUCAUCGAUGACUAUAAUUUUUUUCUGCGCACAAUUGUUUUUAUUUUAUUUUAUAUAUUCCGAUACUUCCAUGGACAAAGAAAAUAGUACAUAUGGUGGACUAUUGUAAAAGAUUAUUGAAUGGGUAAUCGGUAAUGGAAGAUAUCAAUUCGUUCAAAUUGUCUUCGCCUACGACAUGGAUCAUUAAUUCUAUGCUGGUACCGUGAUCUGACGCGCAAAGAAACAUUUUUAUUAUCAUUAGUACAGGCUGCGCAAAUGCACAGGAAUUUUCCUGCUAGAGGUCAUCGUACAAGGAAGUGAACGGAAACUCGAUCUUCCAAUGAACUCGAUAGAAGUUGCAUUCGCGAAAGAGGACAGAGAAAGCAGAAAGCAGAAGUAUUACGCGAUCGUUGCACAAACGGAAGAGAGACAUUAUUGAAUCAGAAAAGAAAAAGACAGCAAACUGCUUUGAUAUAUCACCGAUAUCAGAUGAAGAUUCAAUUAUGAAGCCUUUGGUGGCGUCACAUGUUAAUUAUAAAUUAAUUGCAGAAUAAAUCACAUCUAAAAA